Long non-coding RNA from Epinephelus fuscoguttatus (brown-marbled grouper), 151 nucleotides. RefSeq lists it as uncharacterized. The record is from RefSeq and is a predicted model, not a curated record. The transcript has 2 exons. NCBI's taxonomy places the organism in Eukaryota, Metazoa, Chordata, Actinopteri, Perciformes, Serranidae.
CAGACGUGCAAUAGAUGUCGUACAGAACAGAUCAGCAUAAUAAAUUAACAGUAAUCCGCAUGACACAAUGAGACAGAGAGAGAGAGAGAGAGAGAGAGAGAGAGAGAGAGAGAGAGAGAGAGAGAGAGAGAGAGAGAGAGAGAGAGAUAUG